UACGUAGGGUGCGAGCGUUGUCCGGAAUUACUGGGCGUAAAGAGCUCGUAGGUGGUUUUUCGCGUUGUCCGUGAAAACUCACAACUCAAUUGUGGGCGUGCGGGCGAUACGGGCAGACUGGAGUACUGCAGGGGAGACUGGAAUUCCUGGUGUAGCGGUGGAAUGCGCAGAUAUCAGGAGGAACGCCGGUGGAGAAGGCGGGUAUCUGGGCAGUAACUGACGCUGAGGAGAGAAAGCGUGGGGAGCGAACAGG
This 253-nucleotide ribosomal RNA is filed under the name uncultured bacterium. RNAcentral describes it as "partial 16S ribosomal RNA". It matches the Rfam family "Bacterial small subunit ribosomal RNA", at positions 524 to 776 of the family's 1533-position model. The record is from RNAcentral.